This 226-nucleotide ribosomal RNA is filed under the name uncultured bacterium. RNAcentral's name for it is "partial 16S ribosomal RNA". It matches the Rfam family "Bacterial small subunit ribosomal RNA", at positions 538 to 763 of the family's 1533-position model. The record is from RNAcentral.
GCGUUAAUCGGAAUCACUGGGCGUAAAGCGCUCGUAGGCUGUUUGGUCAGUCAGAUGUGAAAGCCCUCGGCUUACCCGGGGAACUGCAUUUGAUACUGCCAGACUUGAGUGUCGGAGAGGGUGGCGGAAUUCCAGGUGUAGGAGUGAAAUCCGUAGAUAUCUGGAGGAACACCAGUGGCGAAGGCGGCCCCCUGGACGACAACUGACGCUGAGGAGCGAAAGCGUG